GACGAACGCUGGCGGCGUGCCUAACACAUGCAAGUAGAACGCUGAAGGAGGAGCUUGCUCUUCUGGAUGAGUUGCGAACGGGUGAGUAACGCGUAGGUAACCUGCCCUGUAGCGGGGGAUAACUAUUGGAAACGAUAGCUAAUACCGCAUAAGAGCAGAUGUUGCAUGACAUUUGCUUAAAAGUUGCAAUUGCAUCACUACCAGACGGACCUGCGUAGCAUUAGCUAGUUGGUGGGGUAACGGCUCACCAAGGCGACGAUCCGUAGUCGAACUGAGAGGGGGAGCAGCCACACUGGGACUGUGACACGGCCCAGACGGAUACGGGAGGCAGCAGUAGGGAAACGUGGGGCAGGGGUGGAAGACUGAGCGAGAAACGCCGCGGGAGUGAGGAAGGUUUUCGGGUCGUAAAGCACUGUUGUAAGGGAGGAACGAGUGUGAGAGUGGAAAGAUCAGACUGUGACGGUAUCUUAUCAAAAAGGGACGGCUAACUACGUG
This 495-nucleotide ribosomal RNA is filed under the name uncultured bacterium. Its description in RNAcentral is "partial 16S ribosomal RNA". It matches the Rfam family "Bacterial small subunit ribosomal RNA", at positions 28 to 507 of the family's 1533-position model. The record is from RNAcentral.